Molecule: ribosomal RNA, 253 nt
Filed under: uncultured bacterium
Lineage: Bacteria
Description: partial 16S ribosomal RNA
Rfam family: Bacterial small subunit ribosomal RNA
Source: RNAcentral
UACGUAGGGUGCAAGCGUUAAUCGGAAUUACUGGGCGUAAAGCGUGCGCAGGCGGUGAUGUAAGACAGAUGUGAAAUCCCCGGGCUCAACCUGGGAACUGCAUUUGUGACUGCAUCGCUGGAGUGCGGCAGAGGGGGAUGGAAUUCCGCGUGUUGCAGUGAAAUGCGUAGAUAUGCGGAGGAACACCGAUGGCGAAGGCAAUCCCCUGGGCCUGCACUGACGCUCACGCACGAAAGCGUGGGGAGCAAACAGG